AAGGUAGCAAAUUUCCUUGUCGUUUAAGUAACGACCUGCAUGAAAGAUGGAACGAUUCGAUAGCUGUCUUGCGUACAUGUGCUGGUGAAAUGUUAGGUAGUGUGAAGAUACGGUAACAACGUUAUGGGACAAAAAGACCCUGUGAAGCUUUAUAGGGAUAGAAUUUAGUACGGGUUCAAUAUUGGUAUAUCUUCAUGCUAUGCAUCUUCAUUACAAGGAAAAACAGUGAGAUACCAUUCAUUGAGAAUACGGUGAGAUUCUUUGGCCCAAGUUGUUAAGCAUUAUAUUUCUUUCAAGGUGUUUCAAGAUGUUUAUCUUUUCAUGCAUCAUUUUGAAACAUGUUAUACCUGUUUUUCAUGCAUCGUUGUGAUGCAUUAUAAUGAAUUAUAAGGUGUUUAUCGUUGUUAUAUGGUAUUGUUAUGCAAAUGUUAGAUGGGCUGUUUCAUUGGGGAGAUGACCUUCUAUAAUAUAACUAAAGGUUAACAAAGCAAUUGAUGUGGCCUUUGAUCAAGGACUAGUAAGUGCAAAGAUUGAUGUGUGGCUUAAUGGUCAAGCGUUAGAUCCAGUAUUUAAAUGGUGUCUUAGUGACCUUCAAAUUAAUCUAUCAGAUAAAAGCUACUCUAGGGAUAACAGGCUUAAUUCUUUGGAUAGCUCACAUUAACAAAAUCGUUUUGCACCUCGAUGUCGGCUUAUCUUUUCCAAAUGGAAAGCAAUCAAUCAGGAGUGGGAGUGCUCAUCCCAUAACAAGGUACGUGAGCUGGGUUCAGAACGAUGUAAAUCAGUUUGGUCUAUAUCU
This 796-nucleotide ribosomal RNA is filed under the name Alexandrium margalefii. Its description in RNAcentral is "partial Archaeal large subunit ribosomal RNA". It matches the Rfam family "Bacterial large subunit ribosomal RNA", at positions 1953 to 2643 of the family's 2925-position model. Lineage: Eukaryota; Dinophyceae; Gonyaulacales; Pyrocystaceae. The record is from RNAcentral.